RNAcentral lists this long non-coding RNA (295 nucleotides) under Daucus carota (carrot). RNAcentral's name for it is "long non-coding RNA (DCAR_LNC002074)". Lineage: Eukaryota; Viridiplantae; Streptophyta; Magnoliopsida; Apiales; Apiaceae. The record is from RNAcentral.
GAGCAUACAGAUUAAAACUAGAUCUAGACUAUAAAAGAGAGGCUACUAAAAAGAGAAAAUCCUAGGUUAAAAGAUGAUGAUUACAAGUAAAGGGGUGGGGGUAUUUAUAGCUAGAAAUGUAGGGUUUAGGGGUAGGGUGGCUAAAUCUAAUCCAUCCAUGUGUGAUGUGUGUUGGGUAAAUCAUAGCCAUCCAUGUGCCCCCUUGCUUGUCAACUCUCUUUGAUUUUCUUCUUUUCUUUUCUUUUUCUCCCUUUUUCUUGCAUUUUCUCUUCUUUCUUUAUUUAUCUACAAUUUC